GCGCGCCCGCCGCCCCCGCCCGUCCAUCAGCACGUGCCGUGGGCGGGAGGGCUGGCGGGGCUCCCCGGGAAGAAAAAGUUGGCCGGGAGGAACCAGCCGGGCCUGCUUUUCCUCCCCGGUAGCCCCUCCGCGGGCGGGAGCGCGGGCCGCAGCCUGGGCCAGCUUGUCACUGGGCGCCCGGGCCCUGGCGUUGUCCUGCCCCGCCGCCCAGCAGCGCUUUCCCCGUGAAGAAGCUCCGCUAGGAAAGGGCAGGAAGGUGUGAGGGAAAAAAGUGGCCAAGCCGGUGUCAUGGAGGCCCUGCUGGCCUUGAAGAGGGUCGAGAAGCGAGAAAAGCACAGCUGCGGCUGGAUUUGGCUGCAGGGCCGGGAGGCCCCAUCCAGAUGCCGGUGGGGUUGGUGCCAUGGAAAGCGGACAAGCUGCCAGGAUUCACGGAGGAGAUAACUUCUAAACAGAGAGCAGCUUCUGUGACUGCUUAGGAAAUCAACAAAGUCUCCAACAACCAUCAACCAUCUUACAGGCUUGUGUAAGGAACAGGAACUCUGCUCAGGCUUCUCCAUAUGCAUUAAUCACAGGGAAAUUUACAGUAUCUUUGGAAUCAGUACACGGAAAAAAUCUGCAGGAAGAAAAUCUGUCAAGGAAUGUGCAGGGGACAGCAGAAGAAUAUUUUGUUGUGAAAGAAUAAUACCUGGUCUUUGUUUAUAAUGUACAAAUAAAAAUUUUAUUCCUGAAAUCCUAUUUUUUAUGUGAAGCCAGAUUUUUGGAAAGUGUGCCCUUUUUUUCUGCUUCCACAUCUCCUGUGUUAUCAGAAUUGUGGAGCUGUUACUUCGUAAAGCACAAACACCUAACAGAUAACAAAACCCAGGUCUUGAGGUGCACUCAGAUUUGUGCAUUAUUCUUAAGCUAUAUUCAGUAAAUGGACUAUAUGAUAACAAUUUAGGCUCACAUAAAGCAGGUAUGAAACACAUCCAUUUGAAGGAUAUCAGAAUCUCAGUUCUGAGUGUUUUAAUCCACAUAUAUGUCCACACAUGCAUACAGGAGUGCUUGCAUUAGUCAACAUGAAGAUUUCUUUAAAUGAAACUAAACCUCGAUCCCAGCAUUAUUUUCCUGUCUACAUAUGAUUAGAUCUUAAAAUAAUUUAAACAAUGUAAAUCAUUCUUUUGUUUUGAAACGAGAUCUUUAAUUAAGGCUAUAGGUUUUUAUUAAACCUCCUAAAAAUCCAAAACAUCCUCUUUAAUGUACCAUGAGAAUAAAACAAUCUAGAACACCGAGUUUUCUGGCUUCAGUGUAGCAAGCAGCAUUCAUUCCACAAGCACUGGAAGAAUCAUCACCUUCAUUCAGUUCAAGGCUAUAUUUUUAUCUAUAUCUUCUAAUUAAAAGAAAAUUAAAUCUCAACUCUUUUUCAGUAACAGUAUGCACAGUAAAACUGAAGUCGAAGCAGUAGAAUUUCUGUAACAUUUUUGUCAUUAAUGAAAAUAAUCUGAUUUCUAAAGUAGUAAGAUUAGAAAAUACUUUUGUAGUAGAGGCAGAUUUAUUAAUGAUACUUUAUGCAUACUAAUUUAUUAUUCCUGAACAGUUAUAAUCUGGAAACUUUUAAAGGAAAAAUGUUUCGUUCAAAAGUUUAGCUUUGUUAAAAAAAAAUCCCUUCUUGUCUUUAUUACAGAGAAGAUUCUUGUGACUCAGCCUGACAGUCCUUAUUAGUACAACACACAUUUGUUAGUGUUUUCCUUUGAUGUAAUCUUCCUAAGAGGAGGAGGAACUGUGUUUUAACAGCUAUUCAAGGGUACAUUUCAUAGGAACACAAGACAGAAUUUAUGGCUGAAUAUAGUCUGAAUCUCAUCCACAACUCUGAUUUGUCUGGGAGAACAAAGCAUUUCAUUGUGUAUUCAAUAAUGAUUUCAGCAAUCUUAUUCACACAUUCCUUCCUUUCUUAAUCAACAGAAACGGGCUGAAUUCAAGAUGCAUUAUUGGGGUAGGAGGGGGAUACAAUUCCAAAGCCUAUACUUUUGAAAUCACCAUUUUCUUCAGAGCAAUAAUCUCUCUUUAAGAAUCUCUGUUAAGAAUCCCUUAAUGCAACACUUGUCAAGCCUUUUGCACCAUGUCCUUUCCUAAUGAACUUUGCUCUAUUCACUUUUUCCACCCUGUCAGCUGGCAUGGUGCUCUGCUUAUGCCUCUAUUGCUUCCAGUUCCAACAACUGAACUCUCCAGGGAUCACAGUGCACAGUUUAGGGAGCACUGUCUUGUGCAAAGGUUAAAGGUCAGAACAGACAAUCUGAAAAACAGCAAUUUUAUCUGACAAAAUAUUGUGUACACUCUGGGCAUUCUUUUCAAUUGCAUUUCCUUAUGCACACUGUAAACAGAAAUCAGGGCUGGAAAAUAAAAUCAAAAGUGCACAAAGUUGUGAUUCCUGAUGCUGUGCUUGGUAAUGGCAUCUAAAUCCAAGUCUGUCCAUUUAUCAUCUAACUUCUUAAUUAUGUUUAGUAUACUUAGUUGUAUCUCUAAAAUGCCUGCAUUUCUGAGGGGUGUGCAACAGGAAUGCACAAAAUGGCUGUUUUUGUAAAAGACACUGUUGUAUGAUGUCAUCCUUUCAUUUGUAUAUAUUUCUUGGCACUAGAGCUCAAUGAGGGUGUUUAAAACAUUUUGUAUAUUUUAAAUAAUUUUUGCUAAGAAAUGGAAGAACACCUACCUGAACUUAUAUAGUCAAACUUUGUUUGCAGAUGUGUCAAUGUAACUGAAGACAGAACUUAACCCACUCCUUACAAAGUUACUAUAAACAGUAUUUGUUGACACAAUAAGGUCUGGGACUAUACAGGUCUUGCUAAGUUACAACAUGUACUGUUAGCAGACUGCAUCUUUUAAGCAUACUAAUAUUUGUUUAAAGCAGCAUUAUUUGGUCAAUAAAAUAUUCAAGACUGAUAUACAAUAAAGUUGAAACCAAUGCUUUUAAUUUUUAUUUUCAGGUCUGAAGUAGAGAGUACAAGCUUGUGUAUGCUUUCUUACUGAUAUUACAUGGCUAAAAGCUGUCAGCUGUUCACAUGGCAUAUUAAUAAAUAUACCCAAAUCAUAAAGUUUAAA
This is a long non-coding RNA of Parus major (Great Tit), 3072 nucleotides long. RefSeq lists it as uncharacterized. NCBI's taxonomy places the organism in Eukaryota, Metazoa, Chordata, Aves, Passeriformes, Paridae. The record is from RefSeq and is a predicted model, not a curated record. The transcript has 3 exons.